GAUGAACGCUGGCGGCGUGCCUAAUACAUGCAAGUCGAGCGAACGGACGAGAAGCUUUCUUCUCUGAUGUUAGCGGCGGACGGGUGAGUAACACGUGGAUAACCUACCUAUAAUACUUGGAUAACUUCGGGAAACCGGAGCUAAUACCGGAUGAUAUUUUGAACCGCAUGGUUCAAAAGUGAAAGACGGUCUUGCUGUCACUUAUAGAUGGAUCCGCGCUGCAUUAGCUAGUUGGUAAGGUAACGGCUUACCAAGGCAACGAUGCAUAGCCGACCUGAGAGGGUGAUCGGCCACACUGGAACUGAGACACGGUCCAGACUCCUACGGGAGGCAGCAGUAGGGAAUCUUCCGCAAUGGGCGAAAGCCUGACGGAGCAACGCCGCGUGAGUGAUGAAGGUCUUCGGAUCGUAAAACUCUGUUAUUAGGGAAGAACAUAUGUGUAAGUAACUGUGCACAUCUUGACGGUACCUAAUCAGAAAGCCACGGCUAACUACGUG
Molecule: ribosomal RNA, 497 nt
Filed under: uncultured bacterium
Lineage: Bacteria
Description: partial 16S ribosomal RNA
Rfam family: Bacterial small subunit ribosomal RNA
Source: RNAcentral